AGAGUUUGAUCAUGGCUCAGAUUGAACGCUGGCGGCAGGCCUAACACAUGCAAGUCGAACGGUAACAGGAAGCAGCUUGCUGCUUCGCUGACGAGUGGCGGACGGGUGAGUAAUGUCUGGGAAACUGCCUGAUGGAGGGGGAUAACUACUGGAAACGGUGGCUAAUACCGCAUAACGUCGCAAGACCAAAGAGGGGGACCUUCGGGCCUCUUGCCAUCAGAUGUGCCCAGAUGGGAUUAGCUUGUUGGUGAGGUAACGGCUCACCAAGGCGACGAUCCCUAGCUGGUCUGAGAGGAUGACCAGCCACACUGGAACUGAGACACGGUCCAGACUCCUACGGGAGGCAGCAGUGGGGAAUAUUGCACAAUGGGCGCAAGCCUGAUGCAGCCAUGCCGCGUGUAUGAAGAAGGCCUUCGGGUUGUAAAGUACUUUCAGCGGGGAGGAAGGUGUUGUGGUUAAUAACCACAGCAAUUGACGUUACCCGCAGAAGAAGCACCGGCUAACUCCGUGCCAGCAGCCGCGGUAAUACGGAGGGUGCAAGCGUUAAUCGGAAUUACUGGGCGUAAAGCGCACGCAGGCGGUCUGUCAAGUCGGAUGUGAAAUCCCCGGGCUCAACCUGGGAACUGCAUUCGAAACUGGCAGGCUUGAGUCUUGUAGAGGGGGGUAGAAUUCCAGGUGUAGCGGUGAAAUGCGUAGAGAUCUGGAGGAAUACCGGUGGCGAAGGCGGCCCCCUGGACAAAGACUGACGCUCAGGUGCGAAAGCGUGGGGAGCAAACAGGAUUAGAUACCCUGGUAGUCCACGCCGUAAACGAUGUCUACUUGGAGGUUGUGCCCUUGAGGCGUGGCUUCCGGAGCUAACGCGUUAAGUAGACCGCCUGGGGAGUACGGCCGCAAGGUUAAAACUCAAAUGAAUUGACGGGGGCCCGCACAAGCGGUGGAGCAUGUGGUUUAAUUCGAUGCAACGCGAAGAACCUUACCUGGUCUUGACAUCCACGGAAGUUUUCAGAGAUGAGAAUGUGCCUUCGGGAACCGUGAGACAGGUGCUGCAUGGCUGUCGUCAGCUCGUGUUGUGAAAUGUUGGGUUAAGUCCCGCAACGAGCGCAACCCUUAUCCUUUGUUGCCAGCGGUUAGGCCGGGAACUCAAAGGAGACUGCCAGUGAUAAACUGGAGGAAGGUGGGGAUGACGUCAAGUCAUCAUGGCCCUUACGACCAGGGCUACACACGUGCUACAAUGGCGCAUACAAAGAGAAGCGACCUCGCGAGAGCAAGCGGACCUCAUAAAGUGCGUCGUAGUCCGGAUUGGAGUCUGCAACUCGACUCCAUGAAGUCGGAAUCGCUAGUAAUCGUGGAUCAGAAUGCCACGGUGAAUACGUUCCCGGGCCUUGUACACACCGCCCGUCACACCAUGGGAGUGGGUUGCAAAAGAAGUAGGUAGCUUAACCUUCGGGAGGGCGCUUACCACUUUGUGAUUCAUGACUGGGGUGAAGUCGUAACAAGGUAACCGUAGGGGAACCUGCGGUUG
RNAcentral lists this ribosomal RNA (1522 nucleotides) under Salmonella enterica subsp. enterica serovar Derby. RNAcentral describes it as "bacterial SSU rRNA". It matches the Rfam family "Bacterial small subunit ribosomal RNA". RNAcentral also lists the same sequence under 2 other names. Lineage: Bacteria; Pseudomonadati; Pseudomonadota; Gammaproteobacteria; Enterobacterales; Enterobacteriaceae. The record is from RNAcentral.